Molecule: ribosomal RNA, 484 nt
Filed under: uncultured bacterium
Lineage: Bacteria
Description: partial 16S ribosomal RNA
Rfam family: Bacterial small subunit ribosomal RNA
Source: RNAcentral
AUUGAACGCUGGCGGCAGGCCUAACACAUGCAAGUCGAGCGGAUGAAGGGAGCUUGCUCCUGGAUUCAGCGGCGGACGGGUGAGUAAUGCCUAGGAAUCUGCCUGGUAGUGGGGGAUAACGUCCGGAAACGGGCGCUAAUACCGCAUACGUCCUGAGGGAGAAAGUGGGGGAUCUUCGGACCUCACGCUAUCAGAUGAGCCUAGGUCGGAUUAGCUAGUUGGUGGGGUAAAGGCCUACCAAGGCGACGAUCCGUAACUGGUCUGAGAGGAUGAUCAGUCACCCUGGAACUGAGACACGGUCCAGACUCCUACGGGAGGCAGCCGUGGGGAAUAUUGGACAAUGGGCGAAAGCCUGAUCCAGCCAUGCCGCGUGUGUGAAGAAGGUCUUCGGAUUGUAAAGCACUUUAAGUUGGGAGGAAGGGCAGUAAGUUAAUACCUUGCUGUUUUGACGUUACCAACAGAAUAAGCACCGGCUAACUUCGUG